Molecule: long non-coding RNA, 2281 nt
Filed under: Amborella trichopoda
Lineage: Eukaryota; Viridiplantae; Streptophyta; Magnoliopsida; Amborellales; Amborellaceae
Description: long non-coding RNA (ATRI_LNC003138)
Source: RNAcentral
GCAAAUGACUCUCACCCGUUUCCCAUCCCUUCCCCAUCCCACCUAUUAUGCAUCACAUUCUUUCUCUCUCUCCCCCUCUCUUGCGCCAUACUCAAUCUCUUUCUAAUCUUAUUAUCUCUCUCUAACCCCUGCAUUUCUCACUUGUAGGAAACCCUAACCCUCUCAAUUGCCUUCUCUCUCUAACAAAAAUGAGAAGAAGAGGAAGAGGAAGAGGAAGAGAGAAGAGCAACAAUCUGAUAACCAUUUUCUGUCUCUCUCCCGCAAAAACGAGAGGAAGAGGGAGAACAACAGCAACAACAACUAUCUCACUCUCUCUCUAACAAAAACGACAGGAAGAUGAAGAGAGCAAAAACAAGAGGAAAAAGAAGAGAAGAGAGCAGUAGUAGCAACAACAAUAUUGCUUCUCUCUCUAGCAAAAAUGAGAGGAAUAGGAAAAAAGGAGAGCAAUAGCCGCAACAAAUAUCUUGCUUUCUCCCUCAUUACUCAUAGGUAUGUGCUAAUUGCAUAUUUUCUAUCAAAAGGAUUUAGCUAACUAAAAAACUUAUUUUUUUUUGUGUUAAUUGGAGUUCUUACUGCGGUUCUAAUGCGUAUCUAAAUUUUUUUGUUUUCCUUGAUCUUUUGUUCAUUGUGUUUUUUCUUUGUUUUGGAGAAUUAAAAAUCAAAUGAACAAAAAUUUUGUUCAUUCUUGCCUUCGUAUUCUUUGGAGAUAAUUUAGUGGCUUAAGAAGUACAGAGAGAGGAACUCCAUCAUUUUUGUGGGUUUUGAAAAGAGUAGAGGGAUGAACAUGGAUUUAUUACCCUAGUAAAUGCCUCAUCAUUUUAGCAUAUCCUUUGCUUUCUGGUGUCGUUAGACCUUAAUUGGGUUUGUGCCUACUGCCUGUUGUGCUUACGAAUUAAACAUUUGUAGUCUUAUGGUGACCAAUCAAAUCCAUUAAACAAAGGUAAAAGCAAACAAACAAACAUCUGAUUCAUACAACCUGAGCAAAGAAAACUCUCCCUUUGUAGAGUUUUUUGAGUUUCUUUCUUGUUCUCUCUUUGUAAGGCUUUUGUGCUUCUAUCUCUUGCUUCCCUUUUAAAGCUUUUUGAAGUUUACAUAUAGUGCUUAUUUUUUAGAGAGCAAAUUCAUCAUUUUUGUGGGUUUUGAAUGGUGCUGAUUUUUUAGAGAGCAAAUUCAUCAUUUUUGUAGGUUUUGAAUGGUGCUGAUUUUUUUAGAAAGCAAGUUCAUCAUUUUUGUGGGUUUUGAAAGGAGCAGAGGAAUGAACGUAGAUCUAUUUUCUUACCAUUUAGCUUUUGAAAUUUUUUUAUUUUUUAAUGUAAAAAUAUUAAUUUUAAUAUACAUAACAUUUAAAAAAUAAAAAAAAUAAGUUUUAAAGGAUUCUCCUUUUGUAGAGUUUUUUGAGUUUUUUUCUUGCUCUUCUGUAUAAAGCUUUUGUGAGGCUCUCUCUUAUUCCCUUUUUAAAGCUUUUUGAAUGGUGCUGAUUUUUUGGAACUUCAGAGCCUUUUUUGGUUUCUCAUAAAGUGCAUCCAACAAUCGCAUUAGUUUUAUAGAAUGGUCCACAAUUAGAGACCAUUGAUCAUCCCUAUUCUCCACUUGUUGUUUGUGCAUAAUAUACACUCUCUCAAUGUUCCCAAGUCCACUUGUUGUUUGUGCAUUGUAUGUAGUCUCUCAAUGUUCCCAAAUCCACUUGGACCCCAUCGAAUAAUACGGCCAUGGUGUAUGGGCGAAAUCGAGUUUCUGGAGAUGUGUGUAUAACUUGUGGUACAUAAAAAUUUACAAAAAAUCACCAAAUAUUACAAGACAGGUUUCUAGGCAUUAACAAUCAUGGGCAAUAAUGGAAAUGAUAAGGAGUCUCCAAGUGCUACCAUAGUUGGAGGUGACCUUCCUCGGUAAAUUCUUCUCCUUGAUAUGCAUCCAUUAUUGUGUUGUGUGGUCAUAUGGGUUUCUAUUUUUGUAAUUCUUCUCCUUGUAUAGUUUUAAUUUUAGUAUAUGAAAUUCUAAGGAGAUGCAAUUUUUUUUUUUUUGCAGAUUAAUUGCUUUUGUGCAGAUUAAAUCCAUGGAGCUCGAGAAGAAGAGCUAUUAUGCUAGUAUCAAGAAUCAUCUCUGCUUUGUUUCUUUUUUGCUUUUUGUUUUUUUGGGUUUUGUUGCCAUUUUAAUCGUGGCAAGCACUUUUUAAAUUGAAAUCAAACUCAGCCUCAAUCUUGUGAAAUUUUAGAGAUCCGAGUUACCAAACUUUUUUUGAUGUUGCCUUUGCUUUAACGAUGUAUAUCAAUAUCGAUUAAUG